Molecule: ribosomal RNA, 253 nt
Filed under: uncultured bacterium
Lineage: Bacteria
Description: partial 16S ribosomal RNA
Rfam family: Bacterial small subunit ribosomal RNA
Source: RNAcentral
GACGGAGGGUGCAAGCGUUGUUCGGAUUGACUGGGCGUAAAGGGCGUGUAGGCGGUCGGCCAAGUCUGAUGUGAAAGCCCGAGGCUCAGCCUCGGAAGUGCGUCGGAAACUAGUCGGCUGGAGCGCGAUAGAGGAGGGUGGAAUUCCUGGUGUAGCGGUGAAAUGCGUAGAUAUCAGGAAGAACACCGGUGGCGAAGGCGCUCUGCUAGGCCGCAACUGACACUGAGGGACGAAAGCUAGGGGAGCGAAUGGG